This 459-nucleotide ribosomal RNA is filed under the name uncultured bacterium. Its description in RNAcentral is "partial 16S ribosomal RNA". It matches the Rfam family "Bacterial small subunit ribosomal RNA", at positions 338 to 795 of the family's 1533-position model. The record is from RNAcentral.
CCUACGGGAGGCAGCAGUGAGGAAUAUUGGUCAAUGGCCGCAGGGCUGAACCAGCCAAGUCGCGUGCGGGAUGACGGUCCUAUGGAUUGUAAACCUCUUUUGUCAGGGAGCAAAGGGCGCCACGUGUGGCGUUUUGCGAGUACCUGAAGAAAAAGCAUCGGCUAACUCCGUGCCAGCAGCCGCGGUAAUACGGAGGAUGCGAGCGUUAUCCGGAUUGAUUGGGUUUAAAGGGUGCGCAGGCGGAAUGUCAAGUCAGCGGUAAAAGUUCGGGGCUCAACCCCGUCGUGCCGUUGAAACUGGCGUUCUUGAGUGAACGAGAAGUAUGCGGAAUGCGUGGUGUAGCGGUGAAAUGCAUAGAUAUCACGCAGAACUCCGAUUGCGAAGGCAGCAUACCGGCGCUCAACUGACGCUCAUGCACGAAAGCGUGGGUAUCGAACAGGAUUAGAUACCCUUGUAGUC